UCUGGAGGACAGGUGCUGCAUGGCUGUCGUCAGCUCGUGUCGUGAGAUGUUGGGUUAAGUCCGCAACGAGCGCAACCCUUGCCUUUAGUUGCCAGCAGUUCGGCUGGGCACUCUAAAGGGACUGCCGGUGUUAAACCGGAGGAAGGUGGGGAUGACGUCAAGUCCUCAUGGCCUUUAUGACCAGGGCUACACACGUACUACAAUGGCCGAUACAAAGGGCAGCGACACUGCGAGGUGAAGCCAAUCCCGUAAAAUCGGUCUCAGUCCGGAUUGGAGUCUGCAACUCGACUCCAUGAAGUUGGAAUCGCUAGUAAUCGUGGAUCAGCAUGCCACGGUGAAUACGUUCCCGGGCCUU
Molecule: ribosomal RNA, 355 nt
Filed under: uncultured Desulfobulbus sp.
Lineage: Bacteria; Pseudomonadati; Thermodesulfobacteriota; Desulfobulbia; Desulfobulbales; Desulfobulbaceae
Description: bacterial SSU rRNA
Rfam family: Bacterial small subunit ribosomal RNA
Source: RNAcentral